RNAcentral lists this ribosomal RNA (754 nucleotides) under Vararia sp. JC-2023d. RNAcentral's name for it is "partial small subunit ribosomal RNA". It matches the Rfam family "Bacterial small subunit ribosomal RNA", at positions 372 to 931 of the family's 1533-position model. Lineage: Eukaryota; Fungi; Basidiomycota; Agaricomycetes; Russulales; Lachnocladiaceae. The record is from RNAcentral.
ACUAGCUAACUGAAAUCUUUCUUUGCUUUAAGGAGCAUCGAGCCUUUUAUAAGGUACAAAGAGAUAAGGUCAGGGAUAAUAAUGAUAUUACCUUUCUAUAGUGUUGUCAAAAAUUGGUGCCAGAAGACUCGGUAAGGCCAAAAACGCAAACGUUAAUCAUCUUUAUCAGGCGUAAAGGGUUUGUAGGCGGCUUUAAACACUUUAACCAAAGAUACAUCAACCCCCAGAUUGACUGAAUCAAAAAAAAAUUUUUUGUAUAUUAAAUGCAUCUUUUUGUUUUUUGAAGUUCUACUAAUUUUUAAAUUUCAGUAGAACUGUAUCUUAAAGUAAUUUAUUUAUGUUUCAAAACAUAAAGAUAAAUUCAGUUUUUUCAAAAUUUUAUUUUAAAAUAGAAUGCUGAAGUAAACUUUUUUUUAAAAAUAAAAAGGUUAAGUACAAAUUAAAGCUAGAAUCAGGUAGAGGUUAUAUUAUAUAAUGCUUAAUGGAGGGGUUUUAUCUUUAGAUAUUAAGUGGAAUAUUAAUAGCGAAAGCUUUUUUACUAAUACGGAUUAAUGACGCUGAGAAACGAAGGGGAGGAGAGGAAACAGGAUUAGAUACCCACAUACCCCUCCCUGUCAACGAUGAAUGGUAAUUAUUAGUUAGGUUGUAAUUAUAAACCUAUUAUUAGUUUUAAUGUUAACACGUUAACCAUUCCGCCUUGUGAGUACGAUUGCAAAAUUGAAAACAAAAAAAUUAGUCAGUUUCGGAGCAACGA